This 447-nucleotide ribosomal RNA is filed under the name Escherichia coli. Its description in RNAcentral is "partial 23S ribosomal RNA". It matches the Rfam family "Bacterial large subunit ribosomal RNA", at positions 711 to 1155 of the family's 2925-position model. The record is from RNAcentral. Lineage: Bacteria; Pseudomonadati; Pseudomonadota; Gammaproteobacteria; Enterobacterales; Enterobacteriaceae.
AGACCCGAAACCCGGUGAUCUAGCCAUGGGCAGGUUGAAGGUUGGGUAACACUAACUGGAGGACCGAACCGACUAAUGUUGAAAAAUUAGCGGAUGACUUGUGGCUGGGGGUGAAAGGCCAAUCAAACCGGGAGAUAGCUGGUUCUCCCCGAAAGCUAUUUAGGUAGCGCCUCGUGAAUUCAUCUCCGGGGGUAGAGCACUGUUUCGGCAAGGGGGUCAUCCCGACUUACCAACCCGAUGCAAACUGCGAAUACCGGAGAAUGUUAUCACGGGAGACACACGGCGGGUGCUAACGUCCGUCGUGAAGAGGGAAACAACCCAGACCGCCAGCUAAGGUCCCAAAGUCAUGGUUAAGUGGGAAACGAUGUGGGAAGGCCCAGACAGCCAGGAUGUUGGCUUAGAAGCAGCCAUCAUUUAAAGAAAGCGUAAUAGCUCACUGGUCGAGUC